UCCGCCUGGGGACUACGGUCGCAAGACUAAAACUCAAAGGAAUUGACGGGGACCCGCACAAGCGGUGGAGCAUGUGGUUUAAUUCGAUGCAACGCGAAAAACCUUACCACUCCUUGACAUGGAGAUUAGAUCCUUCUUAACAGAAGGGCGCAGUUCGGCUGGAUCUCGCACAGGUGCUGCAUGGCUGUCGUCAGCUCGUGUCGUGAGAUGUUGGGUUAAGUCCCGCAACGAGCGUAACCCUCAUCCUUAGUUGCCAGCGGGUAAGCCGGGCACUUUAAGGAAACUGCCGGUGGUAAACCGGAGGAAGGUGGGGAUGAUGUCAAGUCAGCACGGCCCUUAUGGGGUGGGCUACACACGUGCUACAAUGGUGACUACAAUAGGUUGCAAUGUCGCAAGGCUGAGCUAAUCCGUAAAAGUCAUCUCAGUUCGGAUUGUCCUCUGCAACUCGAGGGCAUGAAGUCGGAAUCGCUAGUAAUCGUGGAUCAGCAUGCCACGGUGAAUACGUUCUCGGGUCUUGUACACACUGCCCGUCACGCCAUGGGAAUUGGCUUAACUCGAAGCUGGUGCGCUAACCGAAAGGAAGCCAGCCAUAA
This 593-nucleotide ribosomal RNA is filed under the name Anaplasma phagocytophilum. Its description in RNAcentral is "bacterial SSU rRNA". It matches the Rfam family "Bacterial small subunit ribosomal RNA", at positions 868 to 1462 of the family's 1533-position model. The record is from RNAcentral. Lineage: Bacteria; Pseudomonadati; Pseudomonadota; Alphaproteobacteria; Rickettsiales; Anaplasmataceae.